RNAcentral lists this ribosomal RNA (681 nucleotides) under Triticum aestivum (bread wheat). RNAcentral's name for it is "partial small subunit ribosomal RNA". The record is from RNAcentral. Lineage: Eukaryota; Viridiplantae; Streptophyta; Magnoliopsida; Poales; Poaceae.
AUGUUCUUUUCCUGUCUCCCGUCUCAGAUUUUUAUCCGUUCUUGUUUCCAGCUUCUUUGUAUCCAUAGCCUAUUAAUUAGUACUACAGUUGUUGCUUGUGAGGGGCCUAGCAACAUUGCUUCAUGCUGGUAUAGUUUCUUUCAUAUUUUCUUUAGUUUGGGGACAACAAUAGUUCUAUGGUCCUGCAUGUAUAAUAGAUGUACCCAUUGUUUCGCUUGCUCUGCUCGGUUGAGUUCUUCUCUAUUUUCCUUUUUAAUUUUUGACCUUUAUGAAAGGAAAGGGACAAGAGGGCAGGCCUGGCGCAGUGGUGAAGUCCUCCCCACUUGUGCCAAGAGGUCCUGGGUUCGAACCAGCCUCUCUGCAUUGCACUUUGCAGGGGUAAGACUAGGUUCCUAUAAUCCCUCCCCAGACCCCACCUUGUGUGGGAGCUUCUAUGCACUGGGUCUGUCCUAUGAAAGGAAAGGGACAAGCGCUUCGCCUAAAACACCUAGCAACUCACUAUUCCCUAAGAGCGCUCGUCGCAAAUUCUUUGCUUCACCUUCCAAGACCAAGGGAGCUGCACUGCCCGAGUCCAUAGUCAUACCUAGACGAGCGUCAGUGAAGAUUUGGGAGGCAGAGAGGGAUUGCUCAAGUGGAAACAGAGCAAGAACCACAAGGAGCUCAAGAUAUGUGCCCGAAUAA